GACGAACGCUGGCGGCGUGCUUAACACAUGCCAGUCGUACGGUAAGGCCCUUUCGGGGGUACACGAGUGGCGAACGGGUGAGUAACACGUGAGUAACCUGCCCACAACUUUGGGAUAACGCUAGGAAACUGGUGCUAAUACUGGAUAUGUGCUCCUGCUGCAUGGUGGGGGUUGGAAAGCUCCGGCGGUUGUGGAUGGACUCGCGGCCUAUCAGCUUGUUGGUGGGGUAGUGGCCUACCAAGGCGGCGACGGGUAGCCGGCCUGAGAGGGUGACCGGCCACAUUGGGACUGAGAUGCGGCCCAGACUCCUACGGGAGGCAGCAGUGGGGAAUAUUGCACAAUGGGCGCAAGCCUGAUGCAGCAACGCCGCGUGCGGGAUGACGGCCUUCGGGUUGUAAACCGCUUUCAGCAGGGACGAAGCUUUUUGUGACGGUACCUGCAGAAGAAGCACCGGCUAACUACGUG
This 465-nucleotide ribosomal RNA is filed under the name uncultured bacterium. Its description in RNAcentral is "partial 16S ribosomal RNA". It matches the Rfam family "Bacterial small subunit ribosomal RNA", at positions 28 to 507 of the family's 1533-position model. The record is from RNAcentral.